UGUCUCUGGGCCAAUACUGACACUGAGGAGCGAAAGCGCGGGGAGCGAACAGGAUUAGUUACCCUGGUAGUCCCCGCCGUAACCGGUGGGCGCUAGUUGUGGGAACCUUCCACGGUUUCUGCGACGCAGCUAACGCAUUAAGAGCCCCGCCUGAGGAGUACGAUCGCAAGAUUAAAACUCAAAGGAAUUGACGGGGCCCCGCACAAGCUGCGGAGCAUGCAGCUUAAUUCGACGCAACGCGAAGAACCUUACCAAGGCUUGACAUAUACCGAAAAGCAGCAGAGAUGUUGUGUCCGCAAGGGCGGUAUACUGGUGGUGCAUGGUUGUCGUCAGCUCGUGUCGUGAGAUGUUGGGUUAAGUCCCGCAACGAGCGCAACCCUCGUUCUGUGUUGCCAGCAUUUAGUUGGGGACUCACAGGAGACUGCCGUGGUUAUCACGGAGGAAGGUGGGGAUGACGUCAAAUCAUCAUGCCCCUUAUAUCUUGGGCUGCACGCAUGCUACAAUGGCAGGUACAAAGGGCUGCAA
RNAcentral lists this ribosomal RNA (525 nucleotides) under uncultured Actinomycetes bacterium. RNAcentral describes it as "bacterial SSU rRNA". It matches the Rfam family "Bacterial small subunit ribosomal RNA", at positions 724 to 1252 of the family's 1533-position model. Lineage: Bacteria; Bacillati; Actinomycetota; Actinomycetes. The record is from RNAcentral.